CCUACGGGUGGCAGCAGUGAGGAAUAUUGGUCAAUGGACGGAAGUCUGAACCAGCCAUGCCGCGUGCAGUAAGACGGCUCUAUGAGUUGUAAACUGCUUUUGUACAAGGGUAAACCUGAAUACGUGUAUUCAGCUGAAAGUACUGUACGAAUACGGAUCGGCUAACUUCGUGCCAGCAGCCGCGGUAAUACGGAGGAUCCAAGCGUUAUCCGGAUUUAUUGGGUUUAAAGGGUGCGUAGGCGGCUUGAUAAGUUAGAGGGGAAAUGUCCUGGCCUAACUCGGGAACUGCCUUUAAUACUGUUGGGCUAGAGAGUAGGUGAGGUAGGCGGAAUGUAUGGUGUAGCGGUGAAAUGCGUAGAGAUCAUACAGAACACCGAUGGCGAAGGCAGCUUACCAAUCUAUAUCUGACGUUGAGGCACGAAAGCGUGGGGAGCAAACAGGAUUAGAUACCCGAGUAGUC
Molecule: ribosomal RNA, 460 nt
Filed under: uncultured bacterium
Lineage: Bacteria
Description: partial 16S ribosomal RNA
Rfam family: Bacterial small subunit ribosomal RNA
Source: RNAcentral